AACGAACGCUGGCGGCAGGCCUAACACAUGCAAGUCGAACGGACGUAGCAAUACGUUAGUGGCUCACGGGAGAGUAACGCGUGGGAACCUUCCUUUUGGUUCGGGAUAACAUCGGGAAACUGGUGCUAAUACCGGAUAAGCCCUUCGGGGGAAAGAUUUAUUGCCGAAAGAUGGGCCCGCGUUGGAUUAGCUAGUUGGUGAGGUAAUGGCUCACCAAGGCAACGAUCCAUAGCUGGUCUGAGAGGAUGAUCAGCCUCACUGGGACUGAGACACGGCCCAGACUCCUACGGGAGGCAGCAGUGGGGAAUAUUGGACAAUGGGGGAAACCCUGAUCCAGCCAUGCCGCGUGAAUGAUGAAGGCCUUCGGGUUGUAAAGUUCUUUUGGUGGGGACGAUGAUGACGGUACCCACAGAAUAAGCUCCGGCUAACUUCGUGCCAGCCGCCGCCGUAA
This 451-nucleotide ribosomal RNA is filed under the name uncultured bacterium. Its description in RNAcentral is "partial 16S ribosomal RNA". It matches the Rfam family "Bacterial small subunit ribosomal RNA", at positions 29 to 523 of the family's 1533-position model. The record is from RNAcentral.